Long non-coding RNA from Lynx canadensis (Canada lynx), 2509 nucleotides. RefSeq lists it as uncharacterized. The transcript has 3 exons. The record is from RefSeq and is a predicted model, not a curated record. NCBI's taxonomy places the organism in Eukaryota, Metazoa, Chordata, Mammalia, Carnivora, Felidae.
UCGUUUUCCCAGCUGAAUAGCAGUGAGAUUGUCCUGCUCACCCUGCAGUUAGCAGCAAGCUCCCCCUGACAUUCCAUCCUCUGAAGCCCCAGCAACCACCGGGGAGGAGGGCUGGCAGCUGAGGCCAUGCCAGAAGAGACCUGUUCUAGCUGGAUCCACACACUCCAGUCUCUGGGUCUAAAAUAAGACUCUUAACUUCUCUGCCAAUGAGCUUCACCAGGCCCGAUGACGUUAACGUGUGCUGUCAGCUCUAUUUGCAGGCAAGGUCCCUGUUCACCAGGAUUUCAUCCAGUCAUCACCCUGACCCGUCUCUGAUGCAAGAGGGCACUUCAAAAGAUGCAGAGUUCCUAAGAUAGCCAGUGGCCAGAGUGUGAACUUCCUAAUUAAGGAACCGCACAAAACCAAAAGUCACUUUCUGGAGAAACGAGUUCCUCUUCUCUGGGAACUGUGAGCGGCAGCCCAGUGGAGGUUUGGAAGCCUGCCACAGAUGGCCAAGAACAAAACCCAGGCCAAUCAGCAGGGCGGAUCUGAGCCCACAUCCAGAGAGGAGCUGCCUCACCACAGCCCUGCUGCUGCCACCAGCUGUCCGAGGAGCUACCUCCAGGGGCCGGGCGGGGAGCCCCACCUUCCUCAAACAAUGUCACAAAGUCCCUGGUAGUUGCUGUGCAACCUACCUUUCUUCACUCUCUGUGGUCAGACUCUGUUCUGACUCAGUGAAGAACAUUUGUUUCCACCUUGUCUGUUCCCAGCCACGUCAGUCACUCUCCCCAACUUCCACAGAGAGAAUCAGUGGAACCACCAGCCCCAGAUCCUCCAAGAGCAUACUCAGAACUCAGCCUGGAGCCCCAGUUCUUCCCUGGGCAUCUCUGCAGACAGGCCAAACCCACGUAUCGAAAGCUGAAUCCAUUAGCUGCCUCUCCAAUGUGACCCUUCCGUGUAUGACACCAGCUGCACUUGGGGCUGGGAGGUCAUGCUUGACUGCCUCCUCUCAUCUCCUACACCCAACUGCAAGCUUUCUGAGUUUUACUUAAUAACCAUUUCUCAAAUCCAGCUUCCAGAAUCCAGAGAUACGGCCGCGGUCCUAGGUUAAGCCUAAACCUGUCCUCUUCAUUAACCACCUUCCCCCUCUGCCAGGAGGGGCCUAAUACAUACAUCUAACUCCACUGUCCAGUGACCCCCCUGGCCCGCCCCCCAAGCCCCCCAGCAUGACCUUCAGGAACCGGUGUUCCCGUCCCCUGUCACCACAGUCACUGCCUGCAGUGUGGACCUGCUCUCGGCACCUGCCUCAUGAGGAUGCCUCCUGCCUCUGUGCUCUUGCUCAGGCCCCUCUCACCCCUUCGCCCAGCUAAUAACUAUGGCAUUGCCCAGGCAUCUUCUUCCUUUGCUUCUCCUCCUCCAGCCAGGCUACGUGCCAUUGCUCAGGGCUCCUAUAAUGCUCACGCACGUUUCUAUCACUGCAUCCAGUCCCUCAAAGCCAACCUGGGGGGACUGUGCAGUAUUUCUGCUCGUGGUCUCAGUACCCAUCACACACAAAGUGGUGCCUGUCACACCCAGUAGGCCUCAGCAGCUGGGAUUCUGCGUUGGCACUGCAGGACUACCGGCUAAUACCGUCCAUCACCACAGUGCAAUCAACACUUUAGUCUGAAUUAGAUCCGUUUUGGUGUUAUCUAUUUAAAGUAGACAGACGCCUAGACACCAAAGGAUUGUGUCUACGUAACAGAUUUUGUCUGGCAACUUAUGUACUUUGGGUACUUAAUGUGAUGGAGUUGACGAUGAUGACGAUGACAGUGACGUCAACCGUGACAGGAAACUGGAGAUGAUUAGACGUCCUUUUAUUCUCUGAGGCUGUGUAGUUGCUUAAAACGGUACACGAUGACUCACAGAAUGACAGCUCACUUGUCCCGAAACCUUAACUAACCGGAAUACAGCCCGGAACCUCAGUCAGACACUCAUCUGAAAAGCCAAAAGAUCAGCAAGUGCGCACGCGAGAGCUUAAAGAGAUCACUUUUUAGGGGCCAUCUGGUCUGCACUCAGAACCUAUUUGUUCUUCCUUUAACUCCACCUCCGAUCAUCUGCGCCAUCUCCGUCCUCAGUCACAGCAAGUCAGGUGUAAAAUGUGAGGCGGGUGAGGUGGAAAGAGGCUCCCAGGGACCAACACGGUGGUGGUGGCACAAGACUCACCAGGUGCAAAACGAGAGACAAACUUCAAAAGAAACAAAGUACACAGCAGUCUGGCAGUCUGGGGACAGUUCAUGUUUAAGGACAAUGAGUUCCACACAUGUUAGUAGACCCUAAUGACACAUCACACAUGAGAGGUACAGUAUUUACCCUCAUACUGAUGACUGAGAUAGCAAAAGAGAGCUGAAUUCUGUCCAAUAGUCUCUACUUGCAGGCAAAAGGAAGUGGGGAAUAUUUUAAGAAGGAUUUCUAUCAAAGUGUUUGGGUGUUUAGGGGCACCUGGGUGGCUCACUCAGUUAAGCGUCCGACUUUGGCUAAGGUCAUCGUCUCA